GGAAGGAUCAUUUAAUGAGUUUUGAAAUGGGACUUGAUGCUGGCCUAUACUCUAGGCAUUGUGCUCAGUUCCACUCAAUCCAUCUUAACACCUGUGCACUUUCAAAGUUUGUAGUCCUCCGUCAUGGGAGCCGCGUCUUGUAAUGAGAUGCUGGGAUUGCACUUUGCCCUUUAUCACAAACCUCAUUAUAGUCUUGUAGAAUGUCAUUAGCCUAUGGGCUUAAUGUUAAUACAACUUUCAACAACGGAUCUCUUGGCUCUCGCAUCGAUGAAGAACGCAGCGAAAUGCGAUAAGUAAUGUGAAUUGCAGAAUUCAGUGAAUCAUCGAAUCUUUGAACGCACCUUGCACUCCUUGGUAUUCCGAGGAGUAUGCCUGUUUGAGUGUCAUUAAAUCAUCAAUCUAAUUUCACUUUUGUGAAGUUGGCUUGGAUUUGGAGACUGUUGGACUUCACUUUUGAAGUUUGACUUCUCUUGAAUGUAUUAGUUGGAUUGAAAUGCAACGCUACGUGUAGUGUGAUAAUUAUCUUCACUGCAUAGUCAGUCGCGUUGUCUGAGACUCAGCCACGCUAUAUGCAUGGUGUACUUCUCAGUUUAACGGGUCAACAUCAAUUUUGGUUGGUGGACAAAGGUUGAGGGAAUGUGGCAUCCUUGGAUGUGUUAUAGCCCUCUUCCGUAUACACUGGCUGGGAUUGAGGACUGCAGCACGCCUUUAUGGCCGGGGUUCGCCCACGUAACGUGCUUAGGAUGUUGGCAUAAUGGCUUUAAGCGACCCGUCUUGAAACACGGACCAAGGAGUCUAACAUGCUUGCGAGUAUUAGAGUGGAAAACUCUUAUGCGUAAUGAAAGUGAAAGUUGGGACCCUUCAUUGGGGCACCGACGCCCGGCUCUGAAGUUUACUGACGAUGCUGCGGUAGAGCACGUAUGUUGGGACCCGAAAGAUGGUGAACUAUGCCUGAAUAGGGUGAAGCCAGGGGAAACUCUGGUGGAGGCUCGUAGCGAUUCUGACGUGCAAAUCGAUCGUCAAAUUUGGGUAUAGGGGCGAAAGACUAAUCGAACCAUCUAGUAGCUGGUUCCUGC
RNAcentral lists this unclassified non-coding RNA (1076 nucleotides) under uncultured fungus. RNAcentral describes it as "sequence contains 18S rRNA gene, ITS1, 5.8S rRNA gene, ITS2, 28S rRNA gene". The stretch from base 178 to 1076 matches the Rfam family "Eukaryotic large subunit ribosomal RNA", at positions 1 to 961 of the family's 3401-position model. The record is from RNAcentral. Lineage: Eukaryota; Fungi.